ACACCUUGGCUAGGUACAAUGC
RNAcentral lists this microRNA (22 nucleotides) under Brugia malayi. RNAcentral describes it as "bma-miR-239-3p". Its record names the gene bma-miR-239-3p. The record is from miRBase by way of RNAcentral. Lineage: Eukaryota; Metazoa; Nematoda; Chromadorea; Rhabditida; Onchocercidae.